GACGAACGCUGGCGGCGUGCUUAACACAUGCAAGUCGAGCGGUAAGGCCCUUUCGGGGGUACGACGAGCGGCGAACGGGUGAGUAACACGUGGGUGACCUGCCCUCAGCUCUGGGAGUAAGCCUGGGAAACCGGGUCUAAUACUGGAUAUGACUCCAUGACGCAUGUUGUGGGGUGGAAAGCCUUGUGCGGCUGAGGAUGGGCCCGCGGCCUAUCAGCUUGUUGGUGGGGUNAGGCCUACCAAGGCGACGACGGGUAGCCGGCCUGAGAGGGCGACCGGCCACACUGGGACUGAGACACGGCCCAGACUCCUACGGGAGGCAGCAGUGGGGAAUCUUGCGCAAUGGGCGAAAGCCUGACGCAGCGACGCCGCGUGA
RNAcentral lists this ribosomal RNA (376 nucleotides) under uncultured bacterium. RNAcentral's name for it is "bacterial SSU rRNA". It matches the Rfam family "Bacterial small subunit ribosomal RNA", at positions 28 to 404 of the family's 1533-position model. The record is from RNAcentral.